UCGCGUGCUCUGGGGUCGGUGUAACUCCGAACCGGCGGUGACUGAUCGAUGCUCCUGCAUCGCGUCAGAAGUCCGCGACCCGGUCACCGCCAGUGACCGGUUGACCAGGUGAAGCUCCUGGACCGACGGUUAAAGUCCGGAUGAGAAGCGCACGCAG
This 157-nucleotide non-coding RNA is filed under the name metagenome. RNAcentral's name for it is "FMN riboswitch". It matches the Rfam family "FMN riboswitch aptamer (RFN element)". From Rfam's summary of the family: The RFN element is a highly conserved domain that is found frequently in the 5'-untranslated regions of prokaryotic mRNAs that encode for flavin mononucleotide (FMN) biosynthesis and transport proteins. This element is a metabolite-dependent riboswitch that directly binds FMN in the absence of proteins. In Bacillus subtilis, the riboswitch most likely controls gene expression by causing premature transcription termination within the 5' untranslated region of the ribDEAHT operon and precluding access to the ribosome-binding site of ypaA mRNA. The record is from RNAcentral.